AAGAGAAUGACGUGCAUCUUUUAUUCUUUUGCCAUAAAAAUUAGUGCUCUAGGGAAUAUAAGACAUAAGCCCAACUUCUUGAAGUUUUGUGGCAAAUAUUAAUGACAAAGAAGUAGUUGUCAUUACUUGUAGUUCAAGACAAUUUUAUGUAUAACUAAUGAUACUGUUGUUUUAAUCUCUUCUGUUAUAUAUCAGAUGUUCUCUUUUAGAAAUAUGUAACACUAUAGGAAAGAAAUAAUAACCAUCCUUUCAACUAUUUAAAACCUUCUUCACCUUUGUCAUAUAAAAUCUUUGAGGCCAAGGAGGCUUCUUCAUUAAUGGGGCUACAGUCAAGGUGAAAUGUUGUG
Molecule: long non-coding RNA, 347 nt
Filed under: Bos taurus (domestic cattle)
Lineage: Eukaryota; Metazoa; Chordata; Mammalia; Artiodactyla; Bovidae
Description: long non-coding RNA NONBTAT010908
Source: RNAcentral